RNAcentral lists this ribosomal RNA (250 nucleotides) under uncultured Bifidobacterium sp. RNAcentral's name for it is "partial 16S ribosomal RNA". It matches the Rfam family "Bacterial small subunit ribosomal RNA", at positions 524 to 773 of the family's 1533-position model. The record is from RNAcentral. Lineage: Bacteria; Bacillati; Actinomycetota; Actinomycetes; Bifidobacteriales; Bifidobacteriaceae.
UACGUAGGGUGCGAGCGUUAUCCGGAAUUAUUGGGCGUAAAGGGCUCGUAGGCGGUUCGUCGCGUCCGGUGUGAAAGUCCAUCGCUUAACGGUGGAUCCGCGUCGGGUACGGGCGGGCUGGAGUGCGGUAGGGGAGACUGGAAUUCCCGGUGUAACGGUGGAAUGUGUAGAUAUCGGGAAGAACACCAAUGGCGAAGGCAGGUCUCUGGGCCGUUACUGACGCUGAGGAGCGAAAGCGUGGGGAGCGAAC